GAGGGUAUAGCUCAAGUGGUAGAGCACAUGCCUAGCAUGUAUGAGGUCCUGGGUUCAGUCCCCAGUACCUCCU
This 73-nucleotide transfer RNA is filed under the name Camelus dromedarius (Arabian camel). It matches the Rfam family "tRNA". From Rfam's summary of the family: Transfer RNA (tRNA) molecules are approximately 80 nucleotides in length. Their secondary structure includes four short double-helical elements and three loops (D, anti-codon, and T loops). Further hydrogen bonds mediate the characteristic L-shaped molecular structure. tRNAs have two regions of fundamental functional importance: the anti-codon, which is responsible for specific mRNA codon recognition, and the 3' end, to which the tRNAs corresponding amino acid is attached (by aminoacyl-tRNA synthetases). tRNAs cope with the degeneracy of the genetic code in two manners: having more than one tRNA (with a specific anti-codon) for a particular amino acid; and 'wobble' base-pairing, i.e. permitting non-standard base-pairing at the 3rd anti-codon position. The record is from Rfam by way of RNAcentral. Lineage: Eukaryota; Metazoa; Chordata; Mammalia; Artiodactyla; Camelidae. RNAcentral also lists the same sequence under 1 other name.